CACGGUGAGACCCCCAUCAGUCUAUCUCUGCGUCUCUCUGGGCCUCCCUCGGUCCAUCUACAGCAUGAGGGGUGAGGCUAGGCCGUCUCAACCACUUCCAGCGCUCAUGGGGCACACUGACUGGUUUGUACCACUAUUCACCUUUUCUGCCUGACAUGCAGUAGAUACUAAAUAAUAGCCAUAAUAUUCACUGUGAUGAUAAAAAACUAACAUUUAUCACAUCAGACAGGAUACUAAAUGCUUUACAUAUAUUAUCACACUAGAUCAAUUUUUUUCUUUUUUUUUUUUUUUUGGAAUGGAUGGCUGAAGACAAAGGAGGGAUGGAUGCGGGGAGGGCAGAGUGCUCUCUAACCAAGUACCAGACUCGCCAAGGCAGAACCAGCGUGGAGCUUAACUUACCACGAGGGGCUCGGUAAAUAUGCAGAGGGAACACUAAGCAACUUACAGAAGGGAGAGACUUAGCAAGUCUCUUCUAUGGGAAUAGGGUACCCCCAUUCCCAGUGGCCUACCCACCCCUCUCCCUCCCGUGGGCUGUAGGAAAUUCUGAAAGGACUCAGCCUCGAACGAGAGAACGCCGACAGUAAGAGGAUUCUUGCCCUGAUGCUUACCUGAGCAUCUCUGAAUUUGUUCUCCAGCCCACUGGCCUGGCUGCCCUGGAGCAGAGGGACACGGGGACUCAGCUCAGACCAUAAACCAGUAGGAUUAACCCCCAUGUCAAUACCUGCUUGUUGUCAGGGAGCUGCUCGGUCGCCGGAGAGCCCUCUGAGAUGACGUAUUCCCUGCCACCUUGGCCUGCUCCCCUGGGCUGCCACGUCUCCCCUUCCCUUGUUUAUAUCGAGUAACCUGAGCUCCGCGGGCCUGACCGAGGCGUGUGAGUUCUGACACGGCCCAGAGAGGCCAGGAUGGCUGCUGUCGGCCUUGUUCUCAUUACUCUGCUGAGACGGGGCCUUGAUCACAUUACCCAUCAUUCAGGCUCCCCAGGGGAUCAGCCUCUGGUUCCGAGGGCACAAGGCAGAAGAGUAAAUCAAAGGGACAUCAAGUCCCGCACGUGGUGCCUGGCUCAUCAUUCCUGCUGAACCAGCAUCUGCCACUUCUCUGGAAAGAAGGCAGUGACGAGUGACAUCCUACCGAAACCAGGGGGUCCUCUCCCCAUCCGAU
This 1158-nucleotide long non-coding RNA is filed under the name Sus scrofa (pig). RNAcentral describes it as "lncRNA (ENSSSCG00055012057.1)". The record is from RNAcentral. Lineage: Eukaryota; Metazoa; Chordata; Mammalia; Artiodactyla; Suidae.